CCUCUGGUGUCUAGUGGCUGAGAGUCCUGGUUUUCACCCAGGAGGCCCAGGUUCAAUUCCUGAACAGAGAA
RNAcentral lists this transfer RNA (71 nucleotides) under Sus scrofa (pig). It matches the Rfam family "tRNA". Rfam says of the family: Transfer RNA (tRNA) molecules are approximately 80 nucleotides in length. Their secondary structure includes four short double-helical elements and three loops (D, anti-codon, and T loops). Lineage: Eukaryota; Metazoa; Chordata; Mammalia; Artiodactyla; Suidae. The record is from Rfam by way of RNAcentral.